Molecule: long non-coding RNA, 537 nt
Filed under: Nicotiana benthamiana
Lineage: Eukaryota; Viridiplantae; Streptophyta; Magnoliopsida; Solanales; Solanaceae
Description: long non-coding RNA (NBEN_LNC003156)
Source: RNAcentral
UCCCCAUGCUGCCAAAAUAAUACCUAAAUGGUAUCUCAAGGAUAAGGACCUUAAGAGCCUGUGCAGUCCCAAGGCAUAAAACAUUUUUAUUUUUUUUUUGCAUUAUAGGAGCUCAAACAGAACAAAUCAUUGCCUGCUGAAAAACAAAUAGUGACUGCUAAUCCUGAUAUCCGCACUGAGAUUGAGCAUUUUGAUGUAAAAACAUCAUUUCUACAGAACAAAUCAUUGCCUGCUGAAAAACAAAUAGUGACUGCUAAUCCUGAUAUCCGCACUGUAAGUAAACUAUGGCUUAUGAUUCCUUUCGAAUCCGUAGAACAAUGAAAGUUGUUGGAGGAAGAUUUUCUACAGAAUUUACUAUAUUUAUGGGUACAGCUAGGUUGUGAGUUCGAGUCUCCCCAAGAGCAAGGUGGGAAGUUCUUAGAGGGAAAAAUGCCGGGGGUCUAUUUGGAAACAGCCUCUCUACCCCAGGGUAGAGGUAAGGUCUGCGUACAAACUACCCUCCCCAGACCCCACUAUGUGGGAUUAUACUGGGUUGUU